GAAGCCAGUGAUGAUUAGAUUCAAUGGUUGCUGAACAUUCAAUGUUGAAAAGCAUCUAACUUGACUAGGACGGUCUGAGGCUUU
RNAcentral lists this unclassified non-coding RNA (84 nucleotides) under Arabidopsis thaliana (thale cress). RNAcentral describes it as "small nucleolar RNA R74". Lineage: Eukaryota; Viridiplantae; Streptophyta; Magnoliopsida; Brassicales; Brassicaceae. The record is from RNAcentral.